ACUACCGAUUGAAUGGUUUAGUGAGGCUUCCUGACUGGCGCCGAUACUCUGGCAACAGAGCGUCGGAUGCCGGAAAGUUGGUCAAACUUGAUCAUUUAGAGGAAGUAAAAGUCGUAACAAGGUUUCCGUAGGUGAACCUGCGGAAGGAUCAUUACCGAUGACCAUGCAGUUGUCUGCUCUGUGAACCGUACGCAAGCUUAUUCAGGGGUCGGCCCGGGGGGCCGUUAAAUGGCGAUCGGACGCGAGGCGAGCAUCUCGCGGCCGCUUCGCCUGCCCCGCCUUGGUUUUUUUUCAAACACACGUGUCUUGUCGUCUGAUGUGGAGGCGUCCGCCUCGUGAAGUAGAAAAGAAUACGAGAGACAACUUUUGACGGUGGAUCUCUUGGCUCACGCAUCGAUGAAGAACGCAGCCAGCUGCGAUAAGUAGUGUGAAUUGCAGAAUUCAGUGAAUCAUCGAAUCUUUGAACGCAAAUGGCGCUCUUGGGUUCUCCCAGGAGCAUGUCUGUCUGAGUGUCGGAUUGUCAUCCAUCGCGGGUGCGCGCUCCAGUGCGCGCGCCGGCGGCGUUGAGGCGUCACGGCCUUUCAGAAGAUGGGCCGUGUCCCUUGAAAGGCAGAGAGACUCGUUGCGGUUCGGGGCUCGUUCCCGCAGCGCAGCAGCGGAGGCCAAAAGUGUCAGCACUCCUUCGCGCGCUGCCGGGACCCCGCCGCGCCCGAGUCGUCGGGGCGAAAGAGACCAACCAUGCUCUUGACCUCAGAUCAGGCAAGGCUACCCGCUGAAUUUAAGCAUAUUAAUAAGCGGAGGAAAAGAAACUAACAAGGAUUCCCUCAGUAACGGCGAGUGAAGCGGGAAGAGCUCAAAUUUGAAAUCUCCGGUGCUUGCAUCGGCGAGUUGUAGUUGCGAGAAGCACUUUCUAGGUGGAUCGGCCGUGCCUAAGUUGCUUGGAACAGCACGUCGCAGAGGGUGACAACCCCGUCUGUGGCGCGGCCGGCCGCUGACGAUGUGCUUUCGAA
RNAcentral lists this ribosomal RNA (1010 nucleotides) under Coelastrea aspera. RNAcentral describes it as "eukaryotic LSU rRNA". The stretch from base 746 to 1010 matches the Rfam family "Eukaryotic large subunit ribosomal RNA", at positions 1 to 261 of the family's 3401-position model. Lineage: Eukaryota; Metazoa; Cnidaria; Anthozoa; Scleractinia; Merulinidae. The record is from RNAcentral.